CCCGCCUAUAUACCACCGUCGUCAGCUUACCCUGUGAAGGCCCAAUAGUAAGCAAGAUUGGCACUGCCCAAAACGCCAGGUCGAGGUGUAGCGUAUGGAAGGGGAAGCAAUGGGCUACAUUCACUACAAUAGUGAACACGAACAGUGCACUGAAACGUGCUCAUUGAAGGAGGAUUUAGCAGUAAGCAGAAAAUAGAGUGUUCCGCUGAAACCGGCCCUGAAGCGCGCACAUACCGCCCGUCACUCUCCCCAAAUUCCACUAAUUCAAAUGCUUAAGCCCUGAGAACAAAGAAGGGGAGGCAAGUCGUAACAUGGUAAGCGUACCGGAAGGUGCGCUUGGAAAAG
RNAcentral lists this ribosomal RNA (345 nucleotides) under Pomadasys hasta. RNAcentral describes it as "partial 12S ribosomal RNA". It matches the Rfam family "Bacterial small subunit ribosomal RNA", at positions 1034 to 1525 of the family's 1533-position model. Lineage: Eukaryota; Metazoa; Chordata; Actinopteri; Lutjaniformes; Haemulidae. The record is from RNAcentral.